This 253-nucleotide ribosomal RNA is filed under the name uncultured bacterium. RNAcentral describes it as "partial 16S ribosomal RNA". It matches the Rfam family "Bacterial small subunit ribosomal RNA", at positions 524 to 776 of the family's 1533-position model. The record is from RNAcentral.
UACGAGGGGUGCAAGCGUUGCUCGGAAUUAUUGGGCGUAAAGGGUAGGUAGGUGGUCUCAUUUGUCCGGGGUGAAAGCCUUGAGCUUAACUCAAGAAGUGCCUCGGAAACGGUGAGACUAGAGUCUUGGAGAGGGUCGUGGAAUUCCCGGUGUAGCGGUGAAAUGCGCAGAUAUCAGGAAGAACACCCGUGGCGAAGGCGGCUCUCUGGGACGGUACUGACGCUGAGACGCGAAAGCGUGGGGAGCGAACAGG